Long non-coding RNA from Scomber scombrus (Atlantic mackerel), 149 nucleotides. RefSeq lists it as uncharacterized. The transcript has 4 exons. The record is from RefSeq and is a predicted model, not a curated record. NCBI's taxonomy places the organism in Eukaryota, Metazoa, Chordata, Actinopteri, Scombriformes, Scombridae.
GUCAGAAAUGAACAUGAGCAACCUGGAAUCAAAGAGCAUGACAUGUCGGAGAGAUGAAUCAUUAAGUGCACACAACGUGACAAAAGACUCUGAGUUGGACUUCACGUAUCAAGAUUGUGAACCUAAUGAGACUCGUCUUUCCACCGGAC